UCAGGUAUUUGAGUGCGCUGUCAAGAAAUAUGAGAGAAAUGGAUGUCUUGCUAAAGAGACGUAGUACAAACUGCAUUCUAGUACGAAGUACAAACUGCAUGAGACAUGUGUAGUACCAAUUGUCUAUUUUCUUAUAAGUUUUCCGUCUGUGUACGUAGUAGCGUAGUACAACCAAGUAGUACAAACAAUUGAAAGAUAAAAGGCCCCAAGGAUCAACAAGCCUACUUAAUUAUACGGACAUGCCAAGUUUGUACCGAUUAGUGCUAAUUCGAAUGCGGGCUCUUAGGGAAGAACAAGUAUCUUUUCGAAAGGAGAAAGGAUGAGAAUGAUUCAUUUGAAGAUUAUCAAAGUGUGUUGGUGUCUUUGGUGCAGAAACUAGAGAGUGGUGCUGUAACCGUUGGUGCUAUUGAAACUCACCUUGCUCUUAAAUUCGGAUUUUUGGUUCUUUCUUUUCUUUCGAAUUUUCUGUCGAGGUUCAAAAUUUCUUGCAACUUUCUUUCCAUUUCCAAUAUGCUGUAAAAUGUAACAGCAGAUGGUUUUCUAUUUUAGUAUGAGACUCUGUAUUAUGGUCACAGCACCUCUCUUUGGACCAAAGUCACCAACACAUUUUCGUGAUCGUCUGUCCUCCUCAAAUUCUCUCAAUUCCUCAUCCAUUCUAAAGUUGGAGGAUGUUUUCUCUGUGUCCAGAACAAGCAGAAAACAGGGAAUGGACGAAAGAAUUCAGGGGCGCAACGGAUCUUCUGUCUCACACCCUGUACCACUCUUUAUCUCAUUUUUUAUUAUAUUGCUAUUUCUCCUACAUAAACAUCAUAUUUUAGUUCUUUUUUAUUUCUUAAAGAUCCAAUAACUAUUAAUUGAGUAAUACACAAAAUUUAACAAACUUAAAAUAUUAAAAAAUAAAUACAGCAACUUCAAUAACCAUUAAUUGACUAAAAAAUAAAUACAACUGCUUCAAAAAAGCAAUAUAUAUAAUAGAAAAUUAAAAAAUACAGCAAAAAAUUCAUAAAAAAUCUCAUUUAAUAGUUAUUGAAAAAUCAUGAUAACAUUGAAUUGUGGUCCUAAAUAUCAAUUAGUAAAAGUCACGGGGCUGUGUGUGUUGUCCAGAGGUAAGACUGUGACAUUGCCUACAUUCACAAUAAAGAAAAAUAUUUAAGAACAAUAAAUUGUGACAUUAAAUGUGAAACCGAGAUAGGUAGCUGGAUUAGUUAAUGUUUGGAGGAAAACAUCGCAUGUGAAAGCUUAAAUGUGAAUCUAACCACUCCAACAACGAACUACUGGUUGGUCGGUCAUUGCCCGGUUACACCACAGAAGAUCCAUCUCUAGUCUAAUUCUUGGAGCACAGCAUAUUUAUUGUACUCAAGAUUAAUUUGUGAGACUGGAAUGUUGCCCCAUUUCAUAUGCAAUAAGGCCAUUCUGGACGAGGAAUUGGUAUUUGAUCAUUGGAUACGAUCAUGUCAUUAUUGUAUUUUUCAAUUCUCAAUAUUCCUUGUAUCAAUGAUCAGAAACCACAAAUGAUAGGGUUUACGGACAUUUCCAACCAUUAGAGUGAAGCGUUGGUGCGUGCCAACCUAAAAGUAUGUUAACAAUAUACACACGACAACGGGCUAGAAAAUAUUUUUGUUUUUUGAAAAACCCGCUUUAGGUAGAUGCUUACCAACGUAGUAUAAGAUACCAGCUAGUUAUUAAAACUCUCAUAUUUGCAAUUAAAUCAAGAAGAUGUCUAGUAGUACAGCAUUUGUAGUCUAGAUAUGGAUUUCUCUUUCUCAAAUUUUCUUGACCCAGUUGAGCUCUCCUUUAAAAUAUAAGUGGACGUGUGGGUAGUCAAUGCGAAUUGGGAAACAACUUCAUGGUCACAACAAUACUGCAUAAAGAAUGAAAAAACCUCUUUUUCACGUCCUUGAAUAUUGGUGCUAUUACCUAACUUAGCUGGGCUGAGUUGGCCAUCACGAUGGGACUUAAGUCCCUCCAUAGAUAUAAGUUGAAGGAUCAAAUUUUUUUGUUCAUAUUCUCAUUUGAAAAUUUCCUCGGCGGAUGAACGGGCAUUUGUUUGAUCAGAUAGUGAUUUAGUCUUUUUGAAUUCCUCAUCAACUCAAAAAAAAAAAAAUUGAUGGCGAUUCAAUCCCACCAAAUAUCUUGUUCAGUAUUACGCAAUGCUCAUCUCAAAUUUGGUGUUGGCCCGGUGAACCAACAGGCCCAGAGUGUAACUUAGAACAAAAAUGUUUGGGCCGAUCUCAGAGAAAGCCUACAUGAGAAAAGGGCUGAAAUGCAGGAAGAAAAUGCCCAACCUAUUUUAAAAUUAUCUAAAUUGUUUCGCCGGCCUUCUAUGGCCCGUACCCAAUCUUCAUGGAUUUGCAAAUGUUUCAUGGAUAAUUUCAUAUUUCUCUAUUAAAUAAAUAAAUAUAUAAAUAAAUGUCAUAUUUCUUGUAUCACUACUGGCAAAUGAUUUUUUUGUUUGAUUUUCCUUAGAUGUCAAGAGUUGAGCAAAUUUUAUUUAUCUCCAAUUAAACAAAUUUUUGGUUGGGGCGGCAAUGUUCCUUCAAAAUUUCACCUCAAAAAAACAUAUUUAAAUACUGAUUUUUUAUUUGAAUUUUUCCUUCAUGAAGCUAGACAAUAAUUGUACAAAAAAACUGCGUUCUGUAUUUUUCCUCCCCACCUCCAAAAACAUGAAGGACCCAAUGAGAUGGGACUGGGCUACCGAUAAAAUGUAGAGUAUGUCUUCCAUUGCACGUAAUCGGCCCGUGAUACAGAUGGUCUCAAAAAAGUUUUUAUAUUUUUCUUGAAUACAUUUCUGGAUUGCUUUUUUAUCUCUUAUAUAUCAUAUCGUUACAAUACAUUUUUUUAAAAAAAAAUUCUAAAAAUAGCAAUCCAAAUGUGCUAAUAAAAUCUGUUAGAGCUUGGUUAAAACUUAAAACGGUUUCACUUAACGUGACUGAAAUUUUUUUUUAAAAAAAAUUUAAAAUUAGGCUUUUUUUUUUGGGUGGGGGAAUGAAAGUGGUGUACUACUACCUAAUAAAAUUUAUGUAGUACAGAUUUGAAAGUACAAACAUAUUUUGCUUUGCGCCUCAUGCUGAUUGUGUAGUACAUAUCCAAAUGGCAUAUAAAUGGCUGUGACAGAUCAAUCUCAAUUCUGAGGGAGUAGGGCAAUGUUUGAAGAACAUAAUUGGAACGAUUAAUGGGCUCGUCCAUUAGAGACUGCAAAGAAGGUAACUUCUCUACUGGUUUCUUUCUUUUCUUUAGAAAAUUUCCAGAGGUACAUCAUCCAUGCAUGGAACGAGUCAAAUAUUAAGUGGAAAAAGAUCUAUACUCCAUAGCCUUCAGCCCUGAGGGGCUUCUUAUUCUUUAUUUAUCAUCCCAAAACAUUUGUCGAAAUUUUCACCUUCUUUUUCUCUUCUUAAAUGCAAAUUGGAAUAGCUUUACUAGUCCUUUUUCAGCCGUUGGCAUCUGGUGAAAUCCAUCUGGAAAUGCAGGUGUUGUACGUGUUUUUUGUCUUUGUAUUUGCAUCGCCAGGGCUGAUCAGUAAUGGCCUUAUCCUUUACUAGUUGGAUGGAUUUUAUCCGUAAGAGCUCGUGGGUGGCCAGAAUGGCUGCGGGACCAGAGUAUCGUUGUCUGUACACGUGAUAAAUGAGAUUAUAAGGAUGUAGCCAUUCAAGUUUCAGAGUCAAGAACAUGAUACAAUGAAUUACUUUGGUUCUACGAAUGCAAAAGGCAAAAGAAGAAGGAAAAAAUAGUGAAAGGAAAGAGGGAAAAGGACAAGAAUUGUAGAAAUUGUUAAGGAUAUGUAUAUAUUUUCUGGUUUGGCAUAAAGAUUUUAGUGUUACAAAUAGAUAAUUAGAAGUAAUAUAAGGUUGAGAUGAUAUGGCUACCUGAUAUUUGGGACUGGGAGGAGUAGUUAGCGAUUGGAUUGUUCUUUAGAAAUCAAAGGGCCCGUAAUGGAAUCCUGGCCAUUUGGUCCAGUGGUCAUCACCAUUAAAGGCGAUGCUGGGGAUCAGGGGUUCAAUUUGUGGCGGUCUUAAUUGACUUUCAUCGAUGGAGUCUGUACUCACAUCGAACCCCCUCCCCUUCCCUUUAGAUUAGGCUAGAUUAGAUUAUAGGACAUCUAUGAUUGCGACAAAAAAAAAAAAAAAA
Long non-coding RNA from Coffea arabica (coffee), 4125 nucleotides. RefSeq lists it as uncharacterized. NCBI's taxonomy places the organism in Eukaryota, Viridiplantae, Streptophyta, Magnoliopsida, Gentianales, Rubiaceae. The record is from RefSeq and is a predicted model, not a curated record.